RNAcentral lists this transfer RNA (69 nucleotides) under Ophichthus erabo (blotched snake-eel). Its description in RNAcentral is "tRNA-Glu". It matches the Rfam family "tRNA". Rfam says of the family: Transfer RNA (tRNA) molecules are approximately 80 nucleotides in length. Lineage: Eukaryota; Metazoa; Chordata; Actinopteri; Anguilliformes; Ophichthidae. The record is from RNAcentral.
GUUUUUAUAGUUGAAGAACAACAGUGGUUUUUCAGAUCGCCGGUCUUGGUUAAAAUCCGAGUGGAAACU